GAUGAACGCUGGCGGCGUGCCUAAUACAUGCAAGUCGAGCGAACGGACGAGAAGCUUGCUUCUCUGAUGUUAGCGGCGGACGGGAGAGUAACACGUGGAUAACCUACCUAUAAGACUGGGAUAACUUCGGGAAACCGUAGCUAAUACCGGAUAAUAUUUUGAACCGCAUGGUUCAAAAGUGAAAGACGGUCUUGCUGUCACUUAUAGAUGGAUCCGCGCUGCAUUAGCUAGUUGGUAAGGUAACGGCUUACCAAGGCAACGAUGGAUAGCCGACCUGAGAGGGUGAUCGGCCACACUGGAACUGAGAAACGGUCCAGACUCCUACGGGAGGCAGCAGUAGGGAAUCGUCCGCAAUGGGCGAAAGCCUGACGGAGCAACGCCGCGUGAGUGAUGAAGGUCUUCGGAUCGUAAAACUCUGUUAUUAGGGAAGAACAUAUGUGUAAGUAACUGUGCACAUCUUGACGGUACCUAAUCAGAAAGCCACGGCUAACUACGUG
This 497-nucleotide ribosomal RNA is filed under the name uncultured bacterium. RNAcentral describes it as "partial 16S ribosomal RNA". It matches the Rfam family "Bacterial small subunit ribosomal RNA", at positions 28 to 507 of the family's 1533-position model. The record is from RNAcentral.